ACACUACCCACACCUAUUAUAGCUGGCAUUACAUGUGGCACCUUUGCUGUUUGUGUCCUCUUGGUUAUUUUUCUUCUUCAUCAUCAAAAAAGAACAAAAGGGACAGCUGCCACUCAAAAUAGAUUAGUUACCUCAAAUGUUGACAAAGAACAAGAAAGACAUUUUACCUCAAAUGUUGGUGAAGAACAAGAACAGGAUCAGAAUGAUGACAGCAUAACAUAUACAACAGUACAGCCCCAUCAAGUUGCUUCUCGGCUUAAGAAUGUUGCUCAGAAAGAUUCAACAGAGUAUGCAGCUGUCUGUUUCAAGAGUGUGCCAGAUGACGAUAUCACCUAUGUUACUGUGAGCACUGCCAAGUGACGUACAAAUGCUAAAAUACCAAUGUAUUAUAUAGAGGACCAUGGUACAGAAUACACUGCUAUUACAAGGCAAAAUGAAAAGCUUAAGAAGCAAAGGCAUUACUCAAUGUUUUCUGCAGUCUGCUCUUACCCUGGCUAUUAAAUAAGCAUAUAUCAAGUGUGUAAAACAUGACAAUAAUCUUUGAAUCAAUCUCCUUGCUGAGCAUCCCUGUCUACAAUGUGCUGCUCACUUUGCCACAAGCCAUAAACCAAUGGUCCACUGCC
Long non-coding RNA from Protopterus annectens (West African lungfish), 623 nucleotides. RefSeq lists it as uncharacterized. NCBI's taxonomy places the organism in Eukaryota, Metazoa, Chordata, Ceratodontiformes, Protopteridae. The record is from RefSeq and is a predicted model, not a curated record. The transcript is spliced from 4 exons.